CAGCAGCCGCGGGAAUACGAAGGGUGCAAGCGUUAAUCGGAAUUACUGGGCGUAAAGCGUGCGUAGGCGGUGAGUUAAGUCUGCUGUGAAAUCCCCGGGCUCAACCUGGGAAUGGCAGUGGAUACUGGCUCGCUAGAGUGUGUCAGAGGAUGGUGGAAUUCCCGGUGUAGCGGUGAAAUGCGUAGAGAUCGGGAGGAACAUCAGUGGCGAAGGCGGCCAUCUGGGACAACACUGACGCUGAGGCACGAAAGCGUGGGGAGCAAACAGGAUUAGAGACCCCCGUAGUCCCUGUCUCUUAUAC
RNAcentral lists this ribosomal RNA (301 nucleotides) under uncultured bacterium. RNAcentral describes it as "partial 16S ribosomal RNA". It matches the Rfam family "Bacterial small subunit ribosomal RNA", at positions 509 to 807 of the family's 1533-position model. The record is from RNAcentral.